RNAcentral lists this ribosomal RNA (685 nucleotides) under uncultured bacterium. RNAcentral describes it as "bacterial SSU rRNA". It matches the Rfam family "Bacterial small subunit ribosomal RNA", at positions 57 to 760 of the family's 1533-position model. The record is from RNAcentral.
GCAAGUCGAUUCGAUUUACCUUCGGGUAUUGAGGAUGGCGGACGGGUGACUAUUGCGUAAGGAACUUGCCUCUUGGACUGGGACAACUGUUCUAAACGACAGCUAAUACCGGAUAUUAUGAGAUUCUCGCAUGAGAAACUUAUGAAAGCUAUAUGCGCCAAGAGAGAGCCUUGCGUUCCAUUAGCUAGUUGGUGGGGUAAUGGCCCACCAAGGCGACGAUGGAUAGCCGGCCUGAGAGGGUGAACGGCCACAAGGGGACUGAGACACGGCCCUUACUCCUACGGGAGGCAGCAGUGGGGAAUAUUGGACAAUGGGCCACAAGCCUGAUCCAGCAAUUCUGUGUGCACGAUGAAGGUCUUCGGAUUGUAAAGUGCUUUCAGUUGGGAAGAAGAAAGUGACGGUACCAACAGAAGAAGCGACGGCUAAAUACGUGCCAGCAGCCGCGGUAAUACGUAUGUCGCAAGCGUUAUCCGGAUUUAUUGGGCGUAAAGCGCGUCUAGGCGGAAAAAUAAGUCUGAUGUUAAAAUGCGGGGCUCAACUCCGUAUUGCGUUGGAAACUGUUUUUCUAGAGUACUGGAGAGGUGGGCGGAACUACUAGUGUAGAGGUGAAAUUCGUAGAUAUUUGUAGGAAUGCCGAUGGAGAAGUCAGCUCACUGGACAGAUACUGACGCUGAAGCGCGAAAGC